CUUGAAACUCAAAGGACUUGACGGUGCUUUACAUCCCCCUAGAGGAGCCUGUUCCAUAAUCGAUAAACCCCGAUCCACCCUACCCUCUCUUGCUCAGCCUAUAUACCGCCAUCUUCAGCAAACCCUAAUGAAGGCCACAAAGUGAGCGCAAACGCCGCCACCGCGAAUACGUUAGGUCAAGGUGUAGCCCAUGAGACGGUAAAAAAUGGGCUACAUUUUCUAUUUCAGAAAACCCACGAAAACCCUUAUGAAACUUAAGGGUCCAAGGAGGAUUUAGCAGUAAAUUAAGAAUAGAGUGCUUAAUUGAACCAGGCCAUAAAGCGCGCACACACCGCCCGUCACUCCUCUCAAAUAUAUUUAAGGAAUAUCCUAACUAAACGCCCUAAUAUUUAUAUAGAGAGGAUAAGUCGUAACAUGGUAAGCGUACUGGAAGGUGCGCUUGGAUAAAU
This 449-nucleotide ribosomal RNA is filed under the name Macaca fascicularis (crab-eating macaque). Its description in RNAcentral is "partial 12S ribosomal RNA". It matches the Rfam family "Bacterial small subunit ribosomal RNA", at positions 893 to 1533 of the family's 1533-position model. Lineage: Eukaryota; Metazoa; Chordata; Mammalia; Primates; Cercopithecidae. The record is from RNAcentral.